Molecule: ribosomal RNA, 474 nt
Filed under: uncultured bacterium
Lineage: Bacteria
Description: partial 16S ribosomal RNA
Rfam family: Bacterial small subunit ribosomal RNA
Source: RNAcentral
GACGAACGCUGGCGGCGUGCUUAACACAUGCAAGUCGAGCGGUAAGGCUCCUUCGGGAGUACACGAGCGGCGAACGGGUGAGUAACACGUGAGUAAUCUGCCCUUCACUUCGGGAUAACCACCGGAAACGGUGGCUAAUACCGAAUACGACCAGUCUUCGCAUGAGGUGCUGGUGGCACGUCUUUUCGGUGAAGGAUGUGCUCGCGGCCUAUCAGCUUGUUGGUGGGGUAAUGGCCUACCAAGGCUUCGACGGGUAGCCGGCCUGAGAGGGUGACCGGCCUCACUGGGACUGUGGCGCGGCCCAGACUCCGACGGGUGGCAGCAGUGGGGAAUAAUGGACAAUGGGCGAAAGCCUGGUCCGGCAACGCCGCGUGAGGGAUGACGGCCUUCGGGUGGUAAACCUCUUUCAGGACCGACGAAGCGCCCUGGCGGGUGGGGAGGGUAGGGACAGAAGAAGGACCGGCCAACUACGUG